CUUAAAUUUAUUUGUUUAAACAUUAAUUUAUAUGUAAAUUUUUGUAUUUAUAAAAUUUCUUAAGGUUAAUUGUAAUUAAAGUUUUGCAGUAAAUUAUUUUAUUGAUAUUAAAUUAGUUUAGAUUUGGUAAAUGUUAAUUUAGGUUUGGUAAAAAUUGUGCCAGCAUCCGCGGUUAUACAAUAAAAUCGAAUAAAUAUUAUUGGCUUUUAAAUAAUUAAUAUAAAAAAUGAUUUAUAUAGGAAUUAAAAUAUUUUAGAGUGAAAUAUUAAAUGUUUUGAAGUAUAAAUAUUUAUGUAUGAAUUAUUGUGAAAUUGAAAAUGUAAACUAGGAUUAGAUACCCUAUUAUUUUUAUAGUAAAUAUAUAAGCUAGAGUACUAGUAGUUAAGAUCUUAAAACUUAAAGAAUUUGGCGGUAUUAUAGUCUACUUAGAGGAAUUUGUUAUGUAAUCGAUAAUCCACGUUGAACCUUACUUAUAUUAAGUUCUUGUAUAUCGCUGUUUAAGAAUAUAUUUUAAGAUUAUUUUCUGGAUAUGUAAUUUAAUAAAAUUUCAAGUCAAGGUGCAGUUAUUUAUAAGUUUAAUAAUGGAUUACAAUAAAUUGUAUUUAUAUGAAUUAUUAUUGCAAAUUAAUUUGAAGGUGGAUUUAAUAGUAAUUUUAUAAAGAUUAUUAAAAUGAUUUUUUAGCCCUAUAAUAUGUACACAUCGCCCGUCAUUCUCGUUAAUAAGAUGAGACAAGUCGUAACAAAGUAGGUUUACUGGAAAGUGUACCUAGAACUAGGAAAA
RNAcentral lists this non-coding RNA (781 nucleotides) under Deroplatys desiccata. Lineage: Eukaryota; Metazoa; Arthropoda; Insecta; Mantodea; Mantidae. The record is from RNAcentral.